UCACCAUUUCACACUAGAUCUACAAGAAUAUCAAAUCACCUAAUGCUGCACAGAAGAAAUAAAAAACCCUUCGGACCCUACAUCAUAAAAUGAUGUAGCGUCCAUGGACGGUUAGUAGGGCGAGCAUUAGCAUGUAACUCAGGGGAUGGGGACAAGAUAAUGUAAUUACCAAAAUCCAUUCAUAUACCAUAUGCACCAUAUUUAUAUAUAUAGAUAAUGCGUGUGUGUGUACAUAUAUAUAUAUAUAUACAUAUAUAUAUACAUAAAUAUGUAUAAAUAUGUAUGUAUGUAUAUAUAUACAUAUAUAUAUAGGAUGUCGGGAUAAGGACAAGGGUCAUGAACAUGGGAGUUUAAAGAUUUAACCUGAACUAUGUAUCUUGAUCCAUUCUAAAAACACCCAUAGGCUAUAUGGGUCCAGCUUCCCCUUCUAAAAGGCCCCCAGUGCGUGUUAGCCGCAUGAACUAAGGAAAAACCACUAAAAGUCCAAAGACAUCAAGGUCAUAGUCCUCCCAAAAUAUAUAAAAACGUGUUCCCCAAGCAUAUAGUCAAAUGGACCCCUAACACCGGCAAACGUGGUUUUCAGUGUCGAUCCUUCUGGGAUCUCCACCUUUAUGGUGAGCAAUACAAUUCUCUUUACUUCUAUAUUAAAAUAAUUUGCACAGAACCAACCAUUAACCCAGGAGUCAUUCAUUAAGACAUUUACUACUUGGUAUCGUCAUACGAAUAUGCUUGCAAGCUUAUAUAAUUAUGUCAAAUCAAUUCUCAUAACCAAAGUGACUCCUAAGUUCCAAUCCAUGGCAACCAAGUCCAUCCCAAAAUCCAUUUUUUCCAUCAGACCUUUAAUGCAAUUAAAUGGGUUCAAAAGAUAAGUUAAAUCAUGCAAUUGUCCAUAUUCAAAGCCAAGUUUACAAAGUGGAUUGAGGUUCAUACCAUCAUCCCAUCAUAAUUUUAUCAAUUUGGAGAAACCCAUGUCCUCCAUUCCAACCAUUUAACCAAUUCACCAAUUCAGUCCUAAAAGCAUCAAUUUAAAGCAUGAAUAAUCAAGUGAAAACACGGGACAAGUAGUUCAAGCAAUAACAAUAAAAAAUCCUCAACCUCAAUUUCAAACCCAUCACUUAAAACACAUGAAUAUCUAAUAAAUUAAUGCCACAAUAUAAAUAUACAAGUUAGGAAUGAGUAACAUGCCUGAAAUAUACAAGGAUUUGAAGACAAUUCAAAGUUUGGAGCCUAGAGUAGUAAUUUCUUGAAAAACCCUUGCGCUUUCUUGAGUUUUGCAUUUAAGAGAGAAUGAUAAUGUUUUUCAUCUUUACAAAUUGAAAGGGAAGGGUUAUUUUAUGUUUGUAAGUCGUGCAAGGGGUAAAAAGAGCAAAAUCCACUCACUCCUAGUUAAGAAAUCAAAAACUAGAUGAUAUUAAAACAGCAACAUGGCACGCUAUUAUCGCGGAGGUUAUCCUCUGUGCCACGCCUUUAUCAUAGAGGCUAACCUCUAUGAUAUGCUAAUGUUGCGGAGUCUCACUACCUCAGAGUUCCAAAAUAGCCUCGAACCCCUUUCAAAAGUUCCAAAACUUUUCCAAAUAUCAUUUUAAAAUCUCCAAACAUAAUUCUAGUAAAAAAUUGACAUUACGCAUGUGGGAGGGUCAAAAAUAAAAUUGUUAAAAUUUUAUGGGGUCUCACACCAUCCUUCACAGUUAUAACCUUGUGCAUAAGCUUUAUCAUGAUAGUUAAAAGAUUUACACCUUCAAACUUGCACAAUGACUCCAUGAGGAAUAGGUUCGUUCUAGAAGCAAUAGUUUGCUUUUCAAUACGAGGUAACAAAACUUUGUUGACAAACUCAAGGAGUAACUAAAACUCUCAUUUUGAGACUUCUUGAGAAUCCCAACACUAGUUAAGCUAUCCAAUCAUCUAAUGUAUGUCACAAACUUAGGAGUGGCUGUCAAAUUCAUCAGAAACUUGAUCCACUCCUUAGGCAUAUCUAGAAUAUGAUUAAGUAUUGUCUUAUCAAGAUGAAUCUCUAUCCCACACACAGUUGUUGAUAGACUCAAACCACCCUCAGAAAGCAAUGUACUAUAUUAAAAGUCUUAACACCUUUAUUUCAUGAACUUUAGCAAAAGGUAAAUUAUAAAGAUAAAUCCAUUCUUUGAAUUUAACAAUUUCAACCAGUUAAUUUAUCCCAGGAAGAUCUAAAUCUCAAGAUCAAGUAAUCUACCCUUAAGGACGUACUACUUACUUAGAAUUUUGAUUCGAUCUUCCCAUGUUAGAACCUUGGCAACUUUUUGAAUUUUUGUUCUCGACGCAGUACCUAGUCCCUUUGGAUAAUCAACUAUCUUUCUCUUUACUGCAAUGGUCUUCUCCUUAGAGAUACUCUUGGGUUUACUCAUUGAUAUCAUGAUGAUUUUGAUAGAACUAACACUUACCCUUCUCUAUGUCGUUGUAAUGGCAACAUCUAAACCAAUUCUCUUAUUAUUCUCCUUUCAUCUUUUACGCUAACAACCUUUCUCUCAUAACAUCUCCCGUGAAAUUCUGCCCUAUUUCUCAAGUCCUAUACGUCCUUAUUACCUCUCCUACAACAUCAACCUUUUUUUUAUUUCGAACCUUUUUGUCAACCCCUUUAAAUGUCCAAAGUUCUUCAUCUUGGUCAUCAACCCAAUCUACUCUGUUGCAAGAAUAUUUGAAAGAUUUCCUAUUUCUUUUGGAAAAUCACCAUCAAACAUGUGCUCAUCAUCUGGUGGAGAGUCAGAGAGUUUAUUGGUACCUGGUCCCUUAGAAAUUUCUUUUGUGACUUUUGUUUGGGCAGGUCCAGGUUGAGAGUUUUGACCUAUUUUUAGAAGUGAUUUAAGAGCCUUUGAUGCGGAGGAAAGCAAUGCAUCAAAAACUUUAGGAGUCAUUUUUGAGUUGAGAGAUGAAGGAAUAUGGUCCUUUUCUAGGGUAAUAAAGAUGGAUAAUAUAGCCUUUUCAUGAAUAAAUAUAGUGGAGAUAGUAGUUUCUAUCAAGGAUUUUGAAAAUUUAUGUGAGUUUUGUUGAUGAAUAGGGUAAUAAAGGAAUUUACUCGCUAAGAGUUGUAUAGAUGGGGAUUACAGUUGAGACAUUGUAGAGUAGAUGAUAAUAGAAGGAGCAAAGAGUACAAAAGAAAGGGAGACAGAUAAUAGAUCACGGGAACUGACAGAAACAAGAAAGGAUAAAUAAAUGGGAAGAAACAUGUGGAAUUUUUUAUCAGUUUUCAAUGCAUUUUCAAAAUGAAACAUCUAUAAUACUAACCUCUAAGGAGAGACUUAUUCCCUCUGGUAAAUUUUUGAAAGAUAUUUGGCUUUAGCCUGCUUUAUCUGCCUCCCUAAUUGAAC
Molecule: long non-coding RNA, 3338 nt
Filed under: Capsicum annuum
Lineage: Eukaryota; Viridiplantae; Streptophyta; Magnoliopsida; Solanales; Solanaceae
Description: long non-coding RNA (CANN_LNC017603)
Source: RNAcentral